Molecule: unclassified non-coding RNA, 347 nt
Filed under: soil metagenome
Description: partial contains 5.8S ribosomal RNA, internal transcribed spacer 2, and large subunit ribosomal RNA
Rfam family: 5.8S ribosomal RNA (bases 1-120)
Source: RNAcentral
GAUGAAGAACGUAGUGAAAUGCGAUAAUUAAUGUGAAUUGCAGAAUUCAGUGAAUCAUCGAGUCUUUGAACGCACAUUGCGCCCCCUGGUAUUCCGGGGGGCAUGCCUGUCCGAGCGUCAUUGCUGCCCUCAAGCACGGCUUGUGUGUUGGGCUUCCGUCCCUGGCAACGGGGACGGGCCCGAAAGGCAGUGGCGGCACCAUGUCUGGUCCUCGAGCGUAUGGGGCUUUGUCACCCGCUCCCGUAGGUCCAGCUGGCAGCUAGCCUCGCAACCAAUCUUUUUAACCAGGUUGACCUCGGAUCAGGUAGGGAUACCCGCUGAACUUAAGCAUAUCAAUAAGCGGAGGA